GACGAACGCUGGCGGCGUGCUUGACACAUGCAAGUCGAACGGAAAGGCCCUGCUUUUGUGGGGUGCUCGAGUGGCGAACGGGUGAGUAACACGUGAGUAACCUGCCCUUGACUUUGGGAUAACUUCAGGAAACUGGGGCUAAUACCGGAUAGGAGCUCCUGCUGCAUGGUGGGGGUUGGAAAGUUUCGGCGGUUGGGGAUGGACUCGCGGCUUAUCAGCUUGUUGGUGGGGUAGUGGCUUACCAAGGCUUUGACGGGUAGCCGGCCUGGGAGGGUGACCGGCCCCAUUGGGACUGAGAUACGGCCCAGACUCCUACGGGAGGCAGCGGUGGGGAAUAUUGCACAAUGGGCGGAAGCCUGAUGCAGCAACGCCGCGUGCGGGAUGCCGGCCUUCGGGUUGUAAACCGCUUUCGCCUGUGACGAAGCGUGAGUGACGGUAAUGGGUAAAGAAGCACCGGCUAACUACGUG
Molecule: ribosomal RNA, 468 nt
Filed under: uncultured bacterium
Lineage: Bacteria
Description: partial 16S ribosomal RNA
Rfam family: Bacterial small subunit ribosomal RNA
Source: RNAcentral